Molecule: ribosomal RNA, 397 nt
Filed under: uncultured bacterium
Lineage: Bacteria
Description: partial 16S ribosomal RNA
Rfam family: Bacterial small subunit ribosomal RNA
Source: RNAcentral
AUACGUAGGGGGCAAGCGUUAUCCGGAUUUACUGGGCGUAAAGGGCGUGUAGGCGGUCUUGCAAGUCAGAAGUGAAAUUCCUGAGCUCAACUCGGGCGCUGCUUCUGAAACUGCAGGACUUGAGUGCUGGAGGGGAUAGCGGAAUUCCUAGUGGAGCGGUAAAAUGCGCAGAUAUUAGGAGGAACACCGGUGGCGAAGGCGGCUAUCUGGACAGUAACUGACGCUGAGGCGCGAAAGCACGGGGAGCAAACAGGAUUAGAUACCCUGGUAGUCCGUGCCGUAAACGAUGAAUACUAGGUGUAGGGGGUAUCGACUCCCUCUGUGCCGCAGUUAACACAUUAAGUAUUCCACCUGGGGAGUACGAUCGCAAGGUUGAAACUCAAAGGAAUUGACGGGG